CCUAUAGUCACGUCAUGUCACGUGAUUUUAUCAAACCCGGAAAUGCUCUUGAUUUUAUAGCUUAUUUCUUUAUAAACACAGCAAUGUGUUGUUUUAAAACCCAUAUAUUGUUACUUGGGCAAUGAGAAUACAGAUUAAAUACGAAUUUCAAAAAAAUAUUAACUUGACAUAUGCAUAUGGUUAACCCAUGUUAAAUAUCCACCAUUUAUUGUCUGUUCGUGUUAUCCAGUCACGGAGGCCAAAGCCAGACUUGGCCAAAAAGAUGGCAUAUUUACUCGAGCAGUGUCGGCUGAGGAACUUUAAAGACCACAUCUGUGCAGGUAAGGACUCAUAUCAGAAUAUAUAGUUUAUAUGAAGUAUUUUUGCCAGCUCUCAUUGUUGCAUCAAAUUGGCCACAGGCGGCUGUAAUAAAUUCCCAGAGAUAUUAACUGCUAAGAAAGUGCAUGUUUGAAGUUGAACACUAGAGGGUGCUACACUUUGGGGCAGAGAUGCCACUCCCUGACUUUGAUUGGUCUUCAAGUACAGGUGUGUGCAGUCCUUUGUUCUGCCUCACAAACAACUCAGUGCAAGGAAGAUACCAGAGAUGCUAUUGGAGGAACCAGAGCCAAAUCGGGCCAACAUUUACCAGUCUGUAGUCGUCAACAGCUCCAAGGAGAUGAUGGCCUUCAGUGACUUCCCGCCUCCUGCCGAACUGCCCAAUAACUUGCACCACUCUGAGGUCCUGGGAUAUCUACGCCUGUACGCAAACUCCUGCCUCACAUUCAGUUCAAGUGCUGAAAGUGAGGAAGACCCCAGAUUCUGCAGAAACGGUGCAAUGGGAGGUAGACACAGAGAAACAAAAUGGAGAGAAGGGGACCCAUGUUUUUGA
Molecule: long non-coding RNA, 868 nt
Filed under: Neogobius melanostomus (round goby)
Lineage: Eukaryota; Metazoa; Chordata; Actinopteri; Gobiiformes; Gobiidae
Description: lncRNA (ENSNMLG00000011881.1)
Source: RNAcentral